Molecule: long non-coding RNA, 334 nt
Filed under: Daucus carota (carrot)
Lineage: Eukaryota; Viridiplantae; Streptophyta; Magnoliopsida; Apiales; Apiaceae
Description: long non-coding RNA (DCAR_LNC001435)
Source: RNAcentral
AUGUCACUUUGUAUAAUCCCACAAUUAUUCUCAAAAUGGGAUGGAGUAUCUUGAGCCAAGGUCUGAAUUCCUGCAAAUUCAGAUGGAAACAUCAUGGCUAGAUAUAGUAGAGCAAAUCUGAGGUUUGGUUUAUUCUUGUUUUGAAGAGAAUGGCUAAAUAUGUAAGAUUAAAUGUGGGUUGGACAGCAUGCUAAUGGAUGGCUUUUUAUAGGAGAAGGCAAGAAAUGUGGGCUACAAAGAAAAACAGUUGUGAAAGCUUACGGAAGCAGAACUGUGACAUGCCAUAGUAAGAGCACUUCAAAUGUGUGUGAUGUAUGCAUGUAAUGAUUGGAAC